CCACGAGGAAGGAGGAAGCGGAAGAUGCUUUUGUCUUUCAAAAUAAAAUGGACUUUCACCACCUGGAGAGGGUGUGGUCCUGGAGCCUGGUGAAAAGGAGGGUCCCAGCUCUAGGAACUUUAGCGGGUAUCUCUGUCUGACUCUUCCCUUUCGAGCCGUCCCGGGCUCCGUGGGGUGGGGAGGGAGGUUGAGUCGGAAUGUGGUUCCCGCAGAGGCCAGGGCCCCUGAAUUAAGGAGCCGCUGGACUGGACAGGAGUGUUUGUGCCUCUUUGCACGUGGGGACCCCUCUGUGGCCGAAGCGUCCACUGCUGGCUUCCUAACUGGGGAUGCUUCCCAAACGUCCCAGCUUCCGGCUCCCCUCCCCCAAUGUUUCUAGUGGGUGGGGCUGCACCUCAGACACUAGGUGACGGUCGUCGUCGGGGAGAUGCUUGCCCUUGGUUUCAUGUGGCCUCAUCUCCUUUGAAGAAGAAAAACAUGUUUGCCUUGACUCAGCUUGGACUGCGGAAUUUGCAUGCUCUCCUUCGCCCCGUCGCAGUGGGAGGGGCACGAGUGAAGUGUGUGGUCUGCUGAUGAGUGUUUAUCUUCAAUCACCCAGCACUGCCCCCCCCUCCACCCCGCCACCCCAGACUCCACUCCGCUCCUUCUGCUCCACUGCCCUGGGGAGUCAGCAACCUGCUGGAGAGCCUCCUCCUUGGUUGGGGCUUAGAUGACGGGAUCUGGUGAAAGAAAGUCUGGUGAGGGGGGCUAGGUCUUGGAGAUGUGGAUUGGCACCAAGAGUAACCACAACAGCAAUAGUCAUAGCUAUCAUUUAUUGAACGCUUACAACGCUCAAGCCCUGGCCUAAACCUUUGACCCAGCAUCCCUCGUUUCAUCCUGGCAGCGAAGCUCCGAGGGUGGGCCAUCCGUAGUUCCAUUUUGCAGGAGAAGAAGUUAAGCCACAGAGAAGUUAAGACAUUUGCCUGAAGUCACACAGUUUGUCUGUGCAGAGCUGGGGUUGGAAUUCUGGCUGCGUGCCCUCGACCCUCUACGCCACUGCCUCUUAGAGGGAUGUGGCCUCUGAGAAUUCCCAGGCUGUCUGCUUCUGGGUUGCAGGGCUGGGGCUUGGAGGAGGGUCCUCUAAGAGGCCACCAUCAGAUCAGUUUAUGGGUGGGCUUGGGUAUGACAGAGGGAGUUGGACUUUGGAGUAAGCCACACCUGCAUUUCCAUCCCAGCCGUGCCACCUGCCGCUUAGGUAACUACCACCGGGUCCCUUAUUGUCUCGGCCCAUCCACGAACGGAGUAAAAUCCGGCCUCCCUGGAAGGGUGAUGGUUCACAUGCUCUGAGUGUGGCCGGUGUGGAGAAGCCACUCCAUAAACUUUGGGCUCUUUGCCUUCCUUCCUGGUGGCCUGAAUCCAUGAAGCUUGACCUGGUUUCUUUCUGGCUCUUGGCCUGUGAUUUCCCACAGGAUACAGUUGCAGGGCUCUUUCCAAGUGAUUCACUCUGAAUAGCGUCCGGGUGGGACACUGUUGGCUGGGCUGGGGUGCCUGUCCAGGGGCUCCGGCCCCACGGAGCCUUCCUCCCUCUGGGAGAGGCCACCUCCAGACCCCGAGGGGCCCUGCCCUUUGUGGCACCUGGAAGGAAAGGCUGAGGCCACCAGCUCCUCCAGGCUGCCUGGCGCCCCACCGGUCGAGCAGAGCAGGGAAGGGCGGCUGGCCUGGCUCCAGAGCAGCCCAGCAGGCCCAGCCAUGCAGGCUGCCCUCGCUCUGAGCCCCUUUAAUCCGGUGGCUGAGUGCAGUGAUCCAUGACGAGGGCUUCCAGGAGCCUCGCCGAGCCAGGCACCAGCGUUUCCACCCACCUCCGAGGGUGGUGGGGAGGUUGCCGCCUGGCUCCACAGAGCUGGCAGGAUGUGGGAGAUGCCACCAGGGGCCAGAGGCUGCAGUUGGAUGCACAGAGGUCCCUGGGAGGUCCCCCCUGGGUCACAGGAAGAAGGGUCUGAGCUGACAGUGGGGAAUAGUAUGCGGCGAACAUAGGAAAGGAUGGACGCCCUUGGGGACAGCCCCUGGCAGGUGCUGCUUCUGUCUGUCGUAGGCUCGCCAUCAUCAUCCCUGCGCUGCUGAGCCUUGUUCCAGCUCUUCCCGUCCCUUUCCUGCCUUUCCCCUCUGCCCUGACCUCAGGACAAUUUGAAAAGGUUUUCUGUCCAACAGAGGUCAGGUGGGGGGAAAGAGGUGCCUUAAUUCAGGCUCGAUCGUGCAGGGGGAGAACAGGGGUGCUGGUGUCACCCGAACCACAUGCUGACCUCAUCACAGGGCUGGUUGACUGCAGGUGGGUGACUUAGCCUCUCUGAGCCUCAGUUCCUCUAACACAGCACCUGCGGCAUGGAACAAGCCAGGAAUAAAUUCUCUUACAAUGUCCUUCCUCCUUGCCCCCAAGUAAUCCUGUGCCCCCCGUCCUGUGGCCUUCACAGACCCUCCUUGUCGGACCCCAUUCCAGGGGACCCUGUGGGAGCCCGAUGACCAGGCUGCGGCUGCCCCUCCCGAGGGAGGGGCCGGGUUGGGCCCACACGCUCGCUGGCCUACAGUUAGUCACAGGAUGGGGUGGAAAUCCAACUCGGAGCUGCUGGUCACACGUUCCUGGCGGCCAGCUGGGAGGUGGCCCCGGUCCCUGAGCACAGACACAGCUGAGCUUAAGUGACUGUGGCGAGGAGCCUGGCGUCUGGAAUAACACGGCCGCCCCUGAGGUUUGUGUCUCAUCACCUGGGAAGGUAGCCAAGCCAAAUCUGCAUCUCACUGUCUGUGGGCCUGGGGAGCCUAAGUUUGGUGCCUUCUCUGCAGGUCCUCAAGCCCCCACCUCCCCCAGAGGCCACUGGCCCUGAGGAGGUCACUUCUGGGGUUCAUCCUUUGGGCCACCCCGCUGCCUUCAUGAGGAUCACUCUCAGCAGAGCCUCCCCUGCCGCCUCAGCUUCCCUGUUCCAGAGGAAACUCAUCACCCACCUGGGAGAAAGGGGGCGCUACUGACUUGGGGCAGAAUCCCAGGAGAUCCUGGGAAUAGUCUCAGGAGAUUGCACCUGCUGGCCUGAAUGUGGAUGAGAGUUUCUGCCCAGUUGGGCCCCAAAAUGACCCCCCAGAGCCCUAAUUGGAAAAUAGAAUCUGAGCUAAGUUUUGUUUCUACUGCAGCAUCACCUCCUCCAGGGAGCCUUCCCUGACUUGUAUACAUUUAAACACGUUUUCCCCUGGGUUUAUAGCUUGCCCUAUGCUUCGCACUAUCCUGUGAAUCAGUUUGAAUAGUAAUCGCUUCCUUAUCUGUUUAGCCCCCUUGGCCAUGAACUCUGCAAAGGUACAGACUGUACCCCAGGCACCUAACACAGCCCUUGGCUCUCAGGGCAGGGGGUGGAGGAGGGGGCCUCAAGACAUGCCUGUUGAUGGGAUGCAUGGGAGGGGUCAGGAGGAAAGGUCACCCCCGUGAUGGACACGAGGGCUUUGGAGAUGAACAGGUUCCCAGCAUGUGUUCAAGAAACUCACCUUGGUGGGCAGGGUCCUGUGGUGGGCUGCCUGGGUUUCCGGCAUCUGGGAGACUCACCUGUGCUGGGAAGGAUAAGGUAGGCAGAGUAGGCAGCCAUCCUGCUCUAGGAGAUGCUGCCGGCAGCCCCCACUGGAGCCACUGACAUCGAGUUUGAUGCCACGUGGCAGAAUGAAUGCCCAGUUUCUAAAGCCUGGAGAGAAAGGGGUUGGGUCUGGCUGGAGAGCGACUCUGCCCGUAAGCUCAGGAGGGCAGGACCGUGGUGGGUGGGAGGAGCGGAUGGGCGGUGUGGGGAGACCACACCUUCAGGACAGCUAGCCAUGAGUCAGGCUUCUGGUCUCCAAAGGGCAAAAAUGAGAAGCCUGGUUUCAGUUACCAGGUCUUAGAUGCACAAACACUGUUUUGGAAGCAGGAGCUUGGGUCAUUUGAGGCCCUCUGCCAGCGUCUGAGUCUCCAGGUUUUGUUUUUGUUUAUAUUCUGAAGUGGAGGACUUGAGCUGGUAUCUCUUUGAGGAUACUCAGACCAUGUAGGUAUAGUCAUUGGCAGUAGCCCCCCCAAAACACUCUUUCUGGGUCCAGGGGCCCUGGGUUGAUGAAGGCUUGGGCCCUGCAUCGCUGGGUGGCUUCGGGGAAGUUGCUCAACUGUUCUGAGCUUCACCUAUUUAUGGCAAUGGAAGUCUUCAGCUUCAUGUAGCUUCCAGAGCUGGUACGGCAGUUAUAUCAGGUCAGAGAUGUUGGAAAGUAGCUUCCAAAAAAUGCUCUAAAAAAUGCCAGGUGCUGUUGGUAGUUGUUGCUGUUGGUGUUUGUUUCAAGCAGUGGUUAUCAGGGCUCAC
RNAcentral lists this long non-coding RNA (4328 nucleotides) under Sus scrofa (pig). Its description in RNAcentral is "lncRNA (ENSSSCG00015078877.1)". The record is from RNAcentral. Lineage: Eukaryota; Metazoa; Chordata; Mammalia; Artiodactyla; Suidae.